GUGACUGCGUACCUUUUGUAUAAUGGGUCAGCGACUUAUAUUCUGUAGCAAGGUUAACCGUAUAGGGGAGCCGCAGGGAAACCGAGUCUUAACUGGGCGUUAAGUUGCAGGGUAUAGACCCGAAACCCGGUGAUCUAGCCAUGGGCAGGUUGAAGGUUGGGUAACACUAACUGGAGGACCGAACCGACUAAUGUUGAAAAAUUAGCGGAUGACUUGUGGCUGGGGGUGAAAGGCCAAUCAAACCGGGAGAUAGCUGGUUCUCCCCGAAAGCUAUUUAGGUAGCGCCUCGUGAACUCAUCUUCGGGGGUAGAGCACUGUUUCGGCUAGGGGGUCAUCCCGACUUACCAACCCGAUGCAAACUACGAAUACCGAAGAAUGUUAUCACGGGAGACACACGGCGGGUGCUAACGUCCGUCGUGAAGAGGGAAACAACCCAGACCGCCAGCUAAGGUCCCAAAGUCAUGGUUAAGUGGGAAACGAUGUGGGAAGGCACAGACAGCCAGGAUGUUGGCUUAGAAGCAGCCAUCAUUUAAAGAAAGCGUAAUAGCUCACUGGUCGAGUCGGCCUGCGCGGAAGAUGUAACGGGGCUAAACCAUGCACCGAAGCUGCGGCAGCGACACUAUGUGUUGUUGGGUAGGGGAGCGUUCUGUAAGCCUGCGAAGGUGUGCUGUGAGGCAUGCUGGAGGUAUCAGAAGUGCGAAUGCUGACAUAAGUAACGAUAAAGCGGGUGAAAAGCCCGCUCGCCGGAAGACCAAGGGUUCCUGUCCAACGUUAAUCGGGGCAGGGUGAGUCGACCCCUAAGGCGAGGCCGAAAGGCGUAGUCGAUGGGAAACAGGUUAAUAUUCCUGUACUUGGUGUUACUGCGAAGGGGGGACGGAGAAGGCUAUGUUAGCCGGGCGACGGUUGUCCCGGUUUAAGCAUGUAGGCUGGUUGUCCAGGCAAAUCCGGAUAAUCAAGGCUGAGGUGUGAUGACGAGGCACUACGGUGCUGAAGUAACAAAUGCCCUGCUUCCAGGAAAAGCCUCUAAGCAUCAGGUAACAUCAAAUCGUACCCCAAACCGACACAGGUGGUCAGGUAGAGAAUACCAAGGCGCUUGAGAGAACUCGGGUGAAGGAACUAGGCAAAAUGGUGCCGUAACUUCGGGAGAAGGCACGCUGGUGUGUAGGUGAAGUCCCUGCGGAUGGAGCUGAGACCAGUCGAAGAUACCAGCUGGCUGCAACUGUUUAUUAAAAACACAGCACUGUGCAAACACGAAAGUGGACGUAUACGGUGUGACGCCUGCCCGGUGCCGGAAGGUUAAUUGAUGGGGUUAUCCGUAAGGAGAAGCUCUUGAUCGAAGCCCCGGUAAACGGCGGCCGUAACUAUAACGGUCCUAAGGUAGCGAAAUUCCUUGUCGGGUAAGUUCCGACCUGCACGAAUGGCGUAAUGAUGGCCAGGCUGUCUCCACCCGAGACUCAGUGAAAUUGAACUCGCUGUGAAGAUGCAGUGUACCCGCGGCAAGACGGAAAGACCCCGUGAACCUUUACUAUAGCUUGACACUGAACAUUGAGCCUUGAUGUGUAGGAUAGGUGGGAGGCUUUGAAGCGUGGACGCCAGUCUGCGUGGAGCCAACCUUGAAAUACCACCCUUUAAUGUUUGAUGUUCUAACGUUGGCCCCUGACCGGGGUUGCGGACAGUGUCUGGUGGGUAGUUUGACUGGGGCGGUCUCCUCCCAAAGCGUAACGGAGGAGCACGAAGGUUAGCUAAUCCUGGUCGGACAUCAGGAGGUUAGUGCAAUGGCAUAAGCUAGCUUGACUGCGAGCGUGACGGCGCGAGCAGGUGCGAAAGCAGGUCAUAGUGAUCCGGUGGUUCUGAAUGGAAGGGCCAUCGCUCAACGGAUAAAAGGUACUCCGGGGAUAACAGGCUGAUACCGCCCAAGAGUUCAUAUCGACGGCGGUGUUUGGCACCUCGAUGUCGGCUCAUCACAUCCUGGGGCUGAAGUAGGUCCCAAGGGUAUGGCUGUUCGCCAUUUAAAGUGGUACGCGAGCUGGGUUUAGAACGUCGUGAGACAGUUCGGUCCCUAUCUGCCGUGGGCGCUGGAGAAUUGAGGGGGGCUGCUCCUAGUACGAGAGGACCGGAGUGGACGCAUCACUGGUGUUCGGGUUGUCAUGCCAAUGGCACUGCCCGGUAGCUAAAUGCGGAAGAGAUAAGUGCUGAAAGCAUCUAAGCACGAAACUUGCCCCGAGAUGAGUUCUCCCUGAGACUUUAAGUCUCCUGAAGGAACGUUGAAGACGACGACGUUGAUAGGCCGGGUGUGUAAGCGCAGCGAUGCGUUGAGCUAACCGGUACUAAUGAACCGUGAGGCUUAACCUU
RNAcentral lists this ribosomal RNA (2352 nucleotides) under Klebsiella pneumoniae. RNAcentral describes it as "bacterial LSU rRNA". It matches the Rfam family "Bacterial large subunit ribosomal RNA", at positions 593 to 2925 of the family's 2925-position model. The record is from RNAcentral. Lineage: Bacteria; Pseudomonadati; Pseudomonadota; Gammaproteobacteria; Enterobacterales; Enterobacteriaceae.